CCCAAUGUGAACGUUACCAAACUGUUGCCUCGGCGGGAUCUCUGCCCCGGGUGCGUCCCACCCCGGACCAAGGCGCCCGCCGGAGGACCAACCAAAACUCUUAUUGUAUACCCCCUCGCGGGUUUUUUUUAUAAUCUGAGCCUUCUCGGCGCCUCUCGUAGGCGUUUCGAAAAUGAAUCAAAACUUUCAACAACGGAUCACUUGUUGCUUCUGGCAUCAAUGAAGAACGCAGCGAAAUGCGAUAAGUAAUGUGAAUUGCAGAAUUCAGUGAAUCAUCGAAUCUUUGAACGCACAUUGCGCCCGCCAGUAUUCUGGCGGGCAUGCCUGUCCGAGCGUCAUUUCAACCCUCGAACCCCUCCGGGGGGUCGGCGUUGGGGAUCGGCCCUGCCUUGGCGGUGGCCGUCUCCAAAAUACAGGGGGGGGUCUCGCCGCAGCCUCUCCUGCGCAGUAGUUUGCACACUCGCAUCGGGGAGCGGGGCGCGUCCACAGCCGUUAAACACCCAACUUCUGAAAUGUUGACCUCGGGAUCAGGUAGGAAUACCCCGCUGAACUUAAGCAUAUCAUAAA
RNAcentral lists this ribosomal RNA (567 nucleotides) under Trichoderma harzianum. Its description in RNAcentral is "eukaryotic LSU rRNA". The stretch from base 182 to 338 matches the Rfam family "5.8S ribosomal RNA". The record is from RNAcentral. Lineage: Eukaryota; Fungi; Ascomycota; Sordariomycetes; Hypocreales; Hypocreaceae.